CAUGCACUGGUGGGGUCCCUCGGCCUGGCCUGUGGACAUCCCCUGAGGGGUUCCCGAUUGCGAGAGGGUGCAGGCCAGGCUGAGGGACCCCACCAGUACACG
Myotis lucifugus (little brown bat) is the source of this 102-nucleotide non-coding RNA. The record is from Rfam. Lineage: Eukaryota; Metazoa; Chordata; Mammalia; Chiroptera; Vespertilionidae.